GUUUUGCUUUUGGAAAAGAUAAGCUGUGACGUCUGGUAAUGCUCUGCAAGAUCUUUAUGAUUAUCAAUUUUCAUAAUGAAUUAUUUCCAGAAAAUUUGAAAUGAAUCUGAUCUGGCUUUCUGAAGCACUGCUGUUUAAUGCCAAGUUACUAACAAAUUGUAGUUCUGCCUAGUCCAUCUUGGGAAAAUAUCAAAAGAAGUGUCACCUUCAGCCAAAAUGGCAAGAAUCCGGUAAUGACAAUAGUUGCACAUUUCUAUCGUUCUGAAAAAACUGAUUUUUUAACAUUAAAG
Long non-coding RNA from Uloborus diversus, 290 nucleotides. RefSeq lists it as uncharacterized. The transcript has 3 exons. NCBI's taxonomy places the organism in Eukaryota, Metazoa, Arthropoda, Arachnida, Araneae, Uloboridae. The record is from RefSeq and is a predicted model, not a curated record.